This 1684-nucleotide long non-coding RNA is filed under the name Helianthus annuus (common sunflower). Its description in RNAcentral is "hypothetical non coding rna". Lineage: Eukaryota; Viridiplantae; Streptophyta; Magnoliopsida; Asterales; Asteraceae. The record is from RNAcentral.
UUGAAUGUGUGAGUGUGUGCAAUCGUGAGAAGAGGCCAGGAAGAGCUUUCCCCUCAAAACCCUAACAUCCUAAAAUCCCUCAAAUUGAAAGGGAAAUCAAAGAUUAAUCGAAUGCAUGAGCCAGGAACUUUGAUUAUCUAAGUGUUCUUGACAUUAAGUAAGUUUAAUUUCAUGAUUUGGUAAUGAUUGAUGAAAUGGUUUAUGUGGAAUUUGUGAGUUUCUAUGGAAUCAAACUUGAAUGCAGAAUGAUAUGAACAUAUAGGAGUUGAAAUUAUGCUCAAAUUUCCCUAUAAUGAUGAAUUAGGGUAAAACUCACUUGUAUUAUGAUUAAAAAUUUGUGAAAUUUUAUAUGCUAAUUAGAUUAAUGUUGAUGAAACCUUGAUGAAUAGAUGAUUUAGAACAACAUGUAUUUGGUUAGGGUGACAAAUUAUGAAGAUGGGAAUGCUUAUGUUAAUCAAUGGAUGAACUAUGGGAAAAAUAUGCUUUAAAUACUUGUAUUUCAUACUUUAUAGAUAGUACGCACGCCAUAUGUUCGAUGAAAUGCCUAUGAAUGAUUUAGUUGAAGUUUGACAUGAAUUCUUGAAUUAAUGGUAAUGUAAAUGAAAAUGGAUAUAUGGGUAAUUAUAUUAAGUCAUGAUGAAUAAAUCAAAAAUGCAUAUGUGAAGAAAUGUUUAAGAAAGCUAAAAGCAUGAAGUUAUAAUGUAUUGGCACGAAGAAGGUACGAGUCACUUGAAGUCGCAAGCGUCACAAGAUCACGUGUUGAGUUGUAUGUUCAUUUAUGGUAGAAUUGUGAUAUGUUUUAUGUUAGAAAACGGAUAAGUAACCCAAUAGUAUUGGUUGUGUAAUGACCACUCAAGUGGGUCAUAAAUCGUUUGGAAAGUAUGAUGGUAAAUGGUUAGAAAAUGACUUGUUAAUAACGGGUCAAAAUGACGAAAGUACGUUAAAUGAACGGUAUGUAUCGAACCAUUACAGAUGGGUCGGAUAGACUAUAUGUUGAACAUUUCCGAAAGAAAUGUUGAAGAGCAUAAAGAAAUUUAUGCUAAAAAGUAAAGAAUGAAUUUGAAAAAGGUUGUUGACAAAAGGAUAAAUUAUGUUAACGGGUCGAAUAAUGGUAGUUAAAUAAAAGAUUUCUUAUUCCAUAUAUAUGUCGAACUAAUAAAUGUUUGGUGUUACGAAUGAUAGGUAAAUCUCAUGCUUAAUGACGGCGAGCUCGGACCGAACACACCAUAUCGCCCUUUUACACGCUUCUGGUUAAAGUUGUCUUUUGAAAAUGGGUCGAAACACUUUCUUAAUGUAAAUGUUGAACCUAUGUUUAGGAUGUUUUCGUCAGUAAAUUAGGAUUUUAAAACACUUUCUUAAUGUAAAACGCUUUGAUGAAAUUUUGUAUGGUUACGUUUUAUAUGUCUUUUGAAAGUGUUGUAGUUUUUACUUGAAUGGUAAAAGUCAAAAGUAGGGACUUGCUUAAAUUACGAAUGGGUCAUGCCGAAUUUUUGUAAAAAAAAAAUAGUAUGUCAUUUUUAUUAUUUUCGAAUGUGAAAAAGUGGGCGUUACAGCACUAAGCCAAAUAUUUCUCUUUCAUAUACGUCUGUGUUUCGGUUACUUAUACAUACUACUCAUGACACGAUCUCAAAAAAACAUUACAUCGAGAAAACCAAUUAAAAUAAAACACUAUCAAUCAAUACUU